GGGAAGGUGGCUCAGUGGUAGAGUGCUUGCCUUGCAUGCAUGAGGCCCUGGGUUCGAUUCCUCAGCUCCA
This is a non-coding RNA of Dipodomys ordii (Ord's kangaroo rat), 70 nucleotides long. The record is from Rfam. Lineage: Eukaryota; Metazoa; Chordata; Mammalia; Rodentia; Heteromyidae.